This 27-nucleotide non-coding RNA is filed under the name Rattus norvegicus (Norway rat). Lineage: Eukaryota; Metazoa; Chordata; Mammalia; Rodentia; Muridae. The record is from RNAcentral.
UAAGAAUAUGGUCAGCUACAAGUGAAC